UACGGGGGGGGCAAGCGUUGUUCGGAAUUACUGGGCGUAAAGGGCUCGUAGGUGGCCAACUAAGUCAGACGUGAAAUCCCUCGGCUUAACCGGGGAACUGCGUCUGAUACUGGAUGGCUUGAGAUUGGGAGAGGGAUGCGGAAUUCCAGGUGUAGCGGUGAAAUGCGUAGAUAUCUGGAGGAACACCGGUGGCGAAGGCGGCUUUCUGGACACUAACUGACGCUGAGACGCGAAAGCGUGGGGAGCAAACAGG
Molecule: ribosomal RNA, 253 nt
Filed under: uncultured bacterium
Lineage: Bacteria
Description: partial 16S ribosomal RNA
Rfam family: Bacterial small subunit ribosomal RNA
Source: RNAcentral